This 315-nucleotide ribosomal RNA is filed under the name uncultured bacterium. Its description in RNAcentral is "bacterial SSU rRNA". It matches the Rfam family "Bacterial small subunit ribosomal RNA", at positions 491 to 793 of the family's 1533-position model. The record is from RNAcentral.
GACCGGCUAACUCCGUGCCAGCAGCCGCGGUAAGUACGGAGGGUGCGAGCGUUAAGUCGGUAAAUUACGUGGGACGUAAAGCGCAUGCGAGGCCGGCCGUGUUAAGUACAGAUGUAGAAAGCCCGGGGCUUAACCUCGGAAUUGCAUUUGAAACUGGCAGGCUAGAGUCUUGUAGAGGGGGGUAGGAAUUUCAGGUGUAGCGGUGAAAUGCGUAGAGAUCUGAAGGAAUACCAGUGGCGAAGGCGGCCCCCUGGACAAAGACUGACGCUCAGAUGCGAAAGCGUGGGGAGCAAACAGGAUUAGAUACCCUGGUAG